This 208-nucleotide unclassified non-coding RNA is filed under the name Hevea brasiliensis (rubber tree). The record is from RNAcentral. Lineage: Eukaryota; Viridiplantae; Streptophyta; Magnoliopsida; Malpighiales; Euphorbiaceae.
AAAAAAAAAGUAUAGAACCGAACCAAAUAAUGCUUUUAAUUAAUUAUUAGGUGCAAAAUUAGAGUUAAAAUAGGAAAUGUGACUAAAAUUAAGUCUAAAUGAGUUCACAAUAAGACCCAAAAAAGCCCAAGACGAAGUCCAAAAGGAUAAAUCAAAUCAAAUCGAACUGAACCAGCUCGAUUCGAUUUUCUCCCUAAUUCAGUUUGGU